This 1719-nucleotide long non-coding RNA is filed under the name Junco hyemalis (dark-eyed junco). RNAcentral's name for it is "lncRNA (ENSJHYG00000012558.1)". Lineage: Eukaryota; Metazoa; Chordata; Aves; Passeriformes; Passerellidae. The record is from RNAcentral.
CAUUGUUGAAGAUUCAACGAAUUUCCCCUUUGACCUCCACAUACUCUAGAGAAGGAUUCCAAAAAGGAUGAUACUUGAAUUUCCCUAAAGCUUCACAUUUUAUGGAACAUGUAGUACAAAGACUGAGAACCACAGCUGCAACCGAGCAUGUGAGUGUUCCCAUCCAUGAGGGCUGCACUGGAAGGAGGAUGAGGAAGAAAUCAAGGAGAUUGUGUGGGAGUUACAGAGGCACUCUUCAGUCCAUCAUUAUUCACUUACUGUUUUUAAGACCACUGAUCACAUUCAAACUCUAAAUACUGGAUUAGAUUGCUUCAGGACUUCCCUCAGGCCUUAAGAAAUUUUUGGGUAUUUUUAAAUCACGACUAAUUACGAGAUGUGAGCUGAUGCACAACAACUCUGUCUUUUUCUGCAGCCAUCUUACUCUUACCCAGUCUUAUUUAUUUAAUGGUGUCUUAAUCCAAGCUAAUCAUGUCCCUAGCAGCAAAUUAUGUUCUAAAUGACAAUGAAUUAUGUUAGGAGGAGAAUAAUCAGGGGAGAGCAAUCCAACCACUCCUAUUUUUUUCAGCAUACCUUAAUCAAAAACGGCAGAGAAGAGGAAGAAGAAAGAAGAAAGAAGAAAGAAGAAAGAAGAAAGAAGAAAGAAGAAAGAAGAAAGAAGAAAGAAGAAAGAAGAAAGAAGAAAGAAGAAAGAAGAAAGAAGAAAGAAGAAAGAAGAAAGAAGAAAGAAGAAAGAAGAAAGAAGAAAGAAGAAAGAAGAAAGAAGAAAGAAGAAAGAAGAAGGAGGAGAAGGAGAAGGAGAAGGAGAAGGAGAAGGAGAAGGAGAAGGAGAAGGAGAAAAGGAGAAGAAGAAGAAGAAGAAGAAGAAGAAGAAAAAGAAGAAGAAGAAGAAGAAGAAGAAGAAGAAGAAGGAGAAGAAGGAGAAGAAGGAGAAGAUAGGAGAAGAAGAAGACGACACAUUGCAGAGAGGAGUGAGGUAUUGCUGAACAUUCCUGGACCUGCAUUAAGCAGGUCAAUUUCUUGGGGAUUCCCCCACAGCAAACUUGGACCUGAAGAACUUGUGCCUGAUGGUUCUGGUGACUGACUGAGUCAGACAGCAUGGUUUAGGAGGCAUCCUCAGAAAAGCCUUUACCUGAUCAAUUCCUCAAGUGGCAGAGAUUAUAUUUUCCCCAGUGCCCCAAAACUGCCUUUCUCUGCUCCACUGCAUCAGUGACAGAUUGUGCCCUUUGUUGUCUGUGCACCUCAGGGUGUUUUCCUUUCCCUCUGUAAAAGCACCUUGAUUUUCUAGUGGAAACUGAAGGAUACUUACAUGUCUGCAUACAUCCAUGAAACUCACAAAUAAUGGAAGACGUCUUUAAAAUGCAUUUGUGUUUCCUCUGCAGAGAAAACUGAGAGGACUGAGUGUCGCAGACAUGUUUUCAUUAAAAUCCUUACUUAGAAUUUUUCCUGCUGGAGCUGAGAAGUUUCAGCAACAAAUGUAAACAAUGGUUAUCUGCUGCUGUGGAAUGCAACAGGUCCACCUGUGACUGGCCCAUCUUGGAUGUUUAUAAUUAAUGGCCAAUCAAGGACGGAGCUAUCUCGGACAGAGUUCGGGAGAGCUCCUUUGUUUUCUUUUCUAUUCUAUUCUUAGCUAGCCUUCUGAGAACUUUCCUUCCUUUUCCUUUUAGUAUAGUUAUAAUGUAGUAUAUAUAUCAUAAAAUAAUAAAUGAAGCCUUCUGAUCA